UAGGGUACCGUCAACAAUACUGGGUAUUAACCAAUACUGCCUUCGUCCCUCCGACAGAAGUUUACAACCAAGGUCUUCGUCCUUCACGCGGCGUUGCUUGUUCAGGGUUGCCCCCAUUGACAAAAAUUCCCCA
This 133-nucleotide ribosomal RNA is filed under the name uncultured bacterium. RNAcentral describes it as "partial 16S ribosomal RNA". The record is from RNAcentral.